GAUGAACGCUGGCGGCGUGCCUAAUACAUGCAAGUCGAGCGAACGGACGAGAAGCUUGCUUCUCUGAUGUUAGCGGCGGACGGGUGAGUGACACGUGGAUAACCUACCUAUAAGACUGGGAUAACUUCGGGAAACCGGAGCUAAUACCGGAUAAUAUUUUGAACCGCAUGGUUCAAAAGUGAAAGACGGUCUUGCUGUCACUUAUAGAUGGAUCCGCGCUGCAUUAGCUAGUUGGUAAGGUAACGGCUUACCAAGGCAACGAUGCAUAGCCGACCUGAGAGGGUGAUCGGCCACACUGGAACUGAGACACGGUCCAGACUCCUACGGGAGGCAGCAGUAGGGAAUCUUCCGCAAUGGGCGAAAGCCUGACGGAGCAACGCCGCGUGAGUGAUGAGGGUCUUCGGAUCGUAAAACUCUGUUAUUAGGGAAGAACAUAUGUGUAAGUAACUGUGCACAUCUUGACGGUACCUAAUCAGAAAGCCACGGCUAACUACGUGCCAGCAGCCGCGGUAAUACGUAGGUGGCAAGCGUUAUCCGGAAUUAUUGGGCGUAAAGCGCGCGUAGGCGGUUUUUUAAGUCUGAUGUGAAAGCCCACGGCUCAACCGUGGAGGGUCAUUGGAAACUGGAAAACUUGAGUGCAGAAGAGGAAAGUGGAAUUCCAUGUGUAGCGGUGAAAUGCGCAGAGAUAUGGAGGAACACCAGUGGCGAAGGCGACUUUCUGGUCUGUAACUGACGCUGAUGUGCGAAAGCGUGGGGAUCAAACAGGAUUAGAUACCCUGGUAGUCCACGCCGUAAACGAUGAGUGCUAAGUGUUAGGGGGUUUCCGCCCCUUAGUGCUGCAGCUAACGCAUUAAGCACUCCGCCUGGGGAGUACGACCGCAAGGUUGAAACUCAAAGGAAUUGACGGGGACCCGCACAAGCGGUGGAGCAUGUGGUUUAAUUCGAAGCAACGCGAAGAACCUUACCAAAUCUUGACAUCCUUUGACAACUCUAGAGAUAGAGCCUUCCCCUUCGGGGGACAAAGUGACAGGUGGUGCAUGGUUGUCGUCAGCUCGUGUCGUGAGAUGUUGGGUUAAGUCCCGCAACGAGCGCAACCCUUAAGCUUAGUUGCCAUCAUUAAGUUGGGCACUCUAAGUUGACUGCCGGUGACAAACCGGAGGAAGGUGGGGAUGACGUCAAAUCAUCAUGCCCCUUAUGAUUUGGGCUACACACGUGCUACAAUGGACAAUACAAAGGGCAGCGAAACCGCGAGGUCAAGCAAAUCCCAUAAAGUUGUUCUCAGUUCGGAUUGUAGUCUGCAACUCGACUACAUGAAGCUGGAAUCGCUAGUAAUCGUAGAUCAGCAUGCUACGGUGAAUACGUUCCCGGGUCU
RNAcentral lists this ribosomal RNA (1372 nucleotides) under uncultured bacterium. RNAcentral describes it as "bacterial SSU rRNA". It matches the Rfam family "Bacterial small subunit ribosomal RNA", at positions 28 to 1381 of the family's 1533-position model. The record is from RNAcentral.